CAAUAGCGUAUAUUAAAGUUGUUGCGGUAAAAAAGCUCGUAGUUGGAUUUCUACCGAAGAUAGCCGGUCGGGUCUUCGACCUUGUAUCUGGUUUUGUCUUUGGUAUCCUCAUAGGGAACGUUUCUGCGCUUUAUUGCGUGGUGCGGUAUCUAUGACUUUUACUUUGAGGAAACUAGAGUGUUCACGGCAGGCAAACGCCUUGAAUAUAUUAGCAUGGAAUAAUAACAUAGGAUCUUCGUCCUAUUUUGUUGGUUUCUAGGGCUAAGAUAAUGAUUAAUAGGGAUAAUUGGGGGCAUCUGUAUCAACGCGUCAGAGGUGGAAUUCUUGGAUUGCGUUGCGACAAACUACUGCGAAAGCAUUUGCCAAGGAUGUUUUCAUUGA
This 381-nucleotide ribosomal RNA is filed under the name uncultured eukaryote. RNAcentral's name for it is "partial 18S ribosomal RNA". It matches the Rfam family "Eukaryotic small subunit ribosomal RNA", at positions 592 to 976 of the family's 1831-position model. The record is from RNAcentral.